AACGAACGCUGGCGGCAGGCCUAACACAUGCAAGUCGAGCGGACCCUUCGGGGUUAGCGGCGGACGGGUGAGUAACGCGUGGGAAUAUGCCCUUCUCUACGGAAUAGUCCUGGGAAACUGGGGGUAAUACCGUAUACGCCCUUUGGGGGAAAGAUUUAUCGGGGAAGGAUUAGCCCGCGUUGGAUUAGGUAGUUGGUGGGGUAAUGGCCUACCAAGCCGACGAUCCAUAGCUGGUUUGAGAGGAUGAUCAGCCACACUGGGACUGAGACACGGCCCAGACUCCUACGGGAGGCAGCAGUGGGGAAUCGUAGACAAUGGGGGCAACCCUGAUCUAGCCAUGCCGCGUGAGUGAUGAAGGCCUUAGGGUUGUAAAGCUCUUUCAGCUGGGAAGAUAAUGACGGUACCAGCAGAAGAAGCCCCGGCUAACUCCG
This 431-nucleotide ribosomal RNA is filed under the name uncultured bacterium. Its description in RNAcentral is "partial 16S ribosomal RNA". It matches the Rfam family "Bacterial small subunit ribosomal RNA", at positions 29 to 505 of the family's 1533-position model. The record is from RNAcentral.